RNAcentral lists this non-coding RNA (80 nucleotides) under unclassified sequences. RNAcentral describes it as "L4-Archaeoglobi ribosomal protein leader". It matches the Rfam family "L4-Archaeoglobi ribosomal protein leades". The record is from RNAcentral.
CUGAUCAGCGCAGGGGUGGACGUGCUCUGCACGAGCCCGCGUGUAUCAGCAUCAUACUGGUACAUCCGCGCGAUAGUCAG